RNAcentral lists this ribosomal RNA (252 nucleotides) under uncultured bacterium. RNAcentral's name for it is "partial 16S ribosomal RNA". It matches the Rfam family "Bacterial small subunit ribosomal RNA", at positions 524 to 776 of the family's 1533-position model. The record is from RNAcentral.
UACGGAGGAUGCAAGCGUUAUCCGGAAUGAUUGGGCGUAAAGCGUCCGCAGGUGGCUGUGUAAGUCUGCUGUCAAAGAGCGAAGCUCAACUUCGUAAAGGCAGUGGAAACUACACGGCUAGAGUGCGUUCGGGGCAGAGGGAAUUCCUGGUGUAGCGGUGAAAUGCGUAGAGAUCAGGAAGAACACCGGUGGCGAAGGCGCUCUGCUAGGCCGCAACUGACACUGAGGGACGAAAGCUAGGGAGCGAAUGGG